UGGGGAAUAUUGGGCAAUGGGCGAAAGCCUGACCCAGCGACGCCGCGUGAGGGAAGAAGAUCUUCGGAUUGUAAACCUUAGUCAACAGGGACGAAGAAAGUGACGGUACCGCUCAAGGAAGCCACGGCUAACUACGUGCCAGCAGCCGCGGUAAUACGUAGGUGGCGAGCGUUGUCCGGAAUUACUGGGUGUAAAGGGAGUGUAGGCGGGAAUGCAAGUCAGAAGUGAAAACUAUGGGCUUAACCCAUAGCCUGCUUUUGAAACUGUAUUUCUUGAGUGAAGCAGAGGCAAGCGGAAUUCCUAGUGUAGCGGUGAAAUGCGUAGAUAUUAGGAGGAACACCAGUGGCGAAGGCGGCUUGCUGGGCUUUACUGACGCUGAGGCUCGAAAGCGUGGGGAGCAAACAGGAUUAGAUACCCUGGUAGU
Molecule: ribosomal RNA, 424 nt
Filed under: uncultured Clostridium sp.
Lineage: Bacteria; Bacillati; Bacillota; Clostridia; Eubacteriales; Clostridiaceae
Description: bacterial SSU rRNA
Rfam family: Bacterial small subunit ribosomal RNA
Source: RNAcentral